CGGUGUGUGGCUCAGUUUGGUAGAGCGCUGCGUUCGGGACGCAGAGGUCGCAGGUUCAAAUCCUGUCACACCGA
RNAcentral lists this transfer RNA (74 nucleotides) under Lachnospiraceae bacterium. RNAcentral's name for it is "tRNA-Pro". It matches the Rfam family "tRNA". Rfam says of the family: Transfer RNA (tRNA) molecules are approximately 80 nucleotides in length. Lineage: Bacteria; Bacillati; Bacillota; Clostridia; Lachnospirales; Lachnospiraceae. RNAcentral also lists the same sequence under 2 other names. The record is from RNAcentral.